This 95-nucleotide transfer RNA is filed under the name Sugiyamaella lignohabitans. RNAcentral's name for it is "Candida lignohabitans tRNA". It matches the Rfam family "tRNA". From Rfam's summary of the family: Transfer RNA (tRNA) molecules are approximately 80 nucleotides in length. Their secondary structure includes four short double-helical elements and three loops (D, anti-codon, and T loops). Further hydrogen bonds mediate the characteristic L-shaped molecular structure. tRNAs have two regions of fundamental functional importance: the anti-codon, which is responsible for specific mRNA codon recognition, and the 3' end, to which the tRNAs corresponding amino acid is attached (by aminoacyl-tRNA synthetases). tRNAs cope with the degeneracy of the genetic code in two manners: having more than one tRNA (with a specific anti-codon) for a particular amino acid; and 'wobble' base-pairing, i.e. permitting non-standard base-pairing at the 3rd anti-codon position. Lineage: Eukaryota; Fungi; Ascomycota; Dipodascomycetes; Dipodascales; Trichomonascaceae. The record is from Rfam by way of RNAcentral.
GCCUUGCUAGCUCAAUCGGUAGAGCGUGUGACUCUUAAUACCAGCAAUGGAUGAAAGUCAUCACAAGGUUGUGGGUUCGACCCCCACGUAGGGCU